CGAUUGGUAGGUUAAAAUGAAGAAAAUUUGAAGCAAAUUAGACUUAAAAUAGAUUCAGAAUCAAGACUCAAAGACAAGCUAAAAAUAGGCUUGAAUUGGGCUCAAAAUCAAUUCAAACCAGCUCGAACCUAAUACAAUUAAACCCAAAUUGGUGCCUGAUGUACGGUGGACCGACCGCUCAAUCCACAGAGUAAGCAACGCAAUCCACAAAAAUUCAUCUGGUCCACAGUCGCGGUCCAUGGGGUGGCUUGGCUCCUAUG
This 260-nucleotide long non-coding RNA is filed under the name Elaeis guineensis (African oil palm). Its description in RNAcentral is "long non-coding RNA (EGUI_LNC065788)". The record is from RNAcentral. Lineage: Eukaryota; Viridiplantae; Streptophyta; Magnoliopsida; Arecales; Arecaceae.